This 406-nucleotide ribosomal RNA is filed under the name uncultured bacterium. RNAcentral's name for it is "partial 16S ribosomal RNA". It matches the Rfam family "Bacterial small subunit ribosomal RNA", at positions 30 to 526 of the family's 1533-position model. The record is from RNAcentral.
AUUGAACGCUGGCGGCAGGCCUAACACAUGCAAGUCGAGCGAGCGGCGGACGUGUUAGUUAUGUAUGUGGCUCUGCCCGGGAGAUGGGGAUAACUACUGGACACUGUGGCUAAUACCGCAUACUAUCGGCUGAACCCGUAUGGGAUUAGCUAGUGGGUGGGGUAAAGGCUGACCUAGGCGACGAUCUGUAGCUGGUCUGAGAGGAUGAUCAGCCACACGGGAACUGAGACACGGCCCAGACUCCUACGGGAGGCAGCAGUGGGGAAUAUUGCACAAUGGGCGCAAGCCUGAUGCAGCCAUGCCGCGUGUAUGAAGAAGGCCUUAGGAUUGUAAAGUACUUUCAGCGGGGAGGCGUUACCAGCAGAAGAAGCACCGGCUAACUCCGUGCCAGCAGCCGCGGUAAUAC